Molecule: long non-coding RNA, 324 nt
Organism: Ictalurus furcatus (blue catfish)
Lineage: Eukaryota; Metazoa; Chordata; Actinopteri; Siluriformes; Ictaluridae
Exons: 3
Source: RefSeq, a predicted model, not a curated record
AAGGUCCACACGCUGCAAAUCGCCUCCUUAGUAAAAUGGGUCCAGAGUCUGGUUUGGAAAAGAAGCACACCGGAUGUGUGUGGGUCGAGUUCAAGCUCGGUAAAAUGCCUCAGAGGAGAGCGCAGCUUCAAGAGAGAACAGAAGAAAGCUUGGUGAGGGAAUGACUGUUUAGAGCUACUACAGUUGAUGCUGAAGAUUCAGCAGGGCCGUUGCCAUGGCUACUGCCCGUUCCCUCCUCCAGCUCGUCCAGGUAGAGACGAUAGCGAUGCCCGCUCUCGUCCUCAUACUCCACGUUCUCAUCAUCCGAGUCCACCUCCGGCGCCA